Molecule: ribosomal RNA, 475 nt
Filed under: Carcharodon carcharias (great white shark)
Lineage: Eukaryota; Metazoa; Chordata; Chondrichthyes; Lamniformes; Lamnidae
Description: partial 12S ribosomal RNA
Rfam family: Bacterial small subunit ribosomal RNA
Source: RNAcentral
UAACUCACUGUAUUGUUCGCCAGAGUACUACAAGCGCUAGCUUAAAACCCAAAGGACUUGGCGGUAUCCCAAACCCACCUAGAGGAGCCUGUUCUGUAACCGAUAAUCCCCGUUAAACCUCACCACUUCUAGCCAUCCCUGUCUAUAUACCGCCGUCGUCAGCUCACCCUAUGAAGGCUUAAAAGUAAGCAAAAAGAAUUAACUCCCAUACGUCAGGUCGAGGUGUAGCUAAUGAAGUGGAUAGAAAUGGGCUACAUUUUCUAUAAAGAAAACACGAAUGGUAGACUGAAAAACUGCCUAAAGGUGGAUUUAGCAGUAAGAAAAGACUAGAGAGCUUCUCUGAAACCGGCUCUGGGAUGCGCACACACCGCCCGUCACUCUCUCAAAAAAAAUCUACUUAUUUUUAAUUAAUGAAAAAUCUCAAGAGGAGGCAAGUCGUAACAUGGUAAGUGUACUGGAAAGUGCACUUGGAAUC